Molecule: ribosomal RNA, 259 nt
Filed under: uncultured bacterium
Lineage: Bacteria
Description: partial 16S ribosomal RNA
Rfam family: Bacterial small subunit ribosomal RNA
Source: RNAcentral
GUCCACGCCGUAAACGAUGGGUGCUAGGUGUGGGGUGUCGACUCCCUCCGUGCCGAAGCUAACGCAUUAAGCACCCCGCCUGGGGAGUACGGCCGCAAGGCUAAAACUCAAAGGAAUUGACGGGGCCCGCACAAGCAGCGGAGCAUGUGGUUUAAUUCGACGCGACGCGAAGAACCUUACCAAGGCUCACAUAUACGGGAAUGUCGGAGAAAUUCGGCAGCCCUUCAGGGCUCGUAUACAGGUGGUGCAUGGCUGUCGU